Pezoporus flaviventris is the source of this 6048-nucleotide long non-coding RNA. RefSeq lists it as uncharacterized. NCBI's taxonomy places the organism in Eukaryota, Metazoa, Chordata, Aves, Psittaciformes, Psittacidae. The record is from RefSeq and is a predicted model, not a curated record. The transcript is spliced from 4 exons.
ACCACAGACUCUUUCUUCCGAGUCCCUUUGACAGUUCCCAGGCUGCCUGCCAUCUGUGGAUGCAACUCUUUAUGAUCCACCCCUUCAGUUAAAGAGUUUGUGUUUGUAAGACUAACAUAUCCAUAAACAGGCCAAUAUACCUGUGGUUGAAAACUGUGUAUAUUACAUUUCUCACUAUCAGUUGGCUACAGAGGUCUUGGGUGCAUGAGGCAGAAAGGGUCCACAGACUGCUGGAUCAAGCCUUUCAACUGAAUUCGGUGUCACCCUAAAAGCAGUACUCACUGUUGGAGAUUAGUGUCGUUCUCCCUAAUACCCAAAUCUAACAGUGUGUGUCUGUUGGGAUUUCAGACACCAAAUGCUGAUCUGAGCUCUUCCCGGUAACUGAGAACCUGCAAACCACUUUUAUGUACAAGAUAAACUUGUCACCAUCAGUAAAGAUCUCUGUCACGUGUGAGUCUCUUUCCUCUCUGCUUUUUUAAUACCAUGAGAUCCUAGGGAACUCACAAUUUAAAAAGUAGCAUGUAAAAAGAAAAGUAAUUUGCUGAUUGCCUGGCUUCUUGCUGCUGCACUGCCAGAUAAAAUAAAGCACAAUAAGGUGAAAAUGAUCGUUUCAACAGUUUUAAGACUGUUAAGAGGAAAAAAAACAAACCCAAAACCUCUGAUUCCCUGCCCUAAAUGGAGUCUCAUCUCUUUAUCAGAAAGGAUAACAGCUUUAGAGUAAGAUGCUGCCAUUCACUCUUAGUCAGCAGUUUUGAAAAGUCAACUUCCUAUUCUUAACCUGGAUUUCAAAGACAUCUGGGUGCUUCAGCUGGUGAAAUGUGUUUGUCAAUCACAUGUCUACAGAUACCUGGAUAGUUUAAUGAUCAUUUUUCUGGUUAGGGAUGCAGUGUGAGGCUGUGCAUCAGUGCUAAUGUUUAUAGUUGCACUUAAGUGCUGGCUAAGUAAGGAAAGAUGAUGCAUCUCAAAAGUCAUCAUGGGUUAUUUUGCCUUUAGAUAUCCUUGGAUUUAGUAACAAGUAAAUAGAAAUACUUUCUAGUAAAAGAGUCUUUUUAGUAAAAAAAGUCUUAGUAAAAACUGGAUGCCAUACAUAAACUAACAUCUGAAAUAAGCGAAUGUUUUGUUUAUUUAACCACUAAAUUGUGUUAGAUUAAAAGCCAUUCUGAGGAAAAUUGCAUAGUUUUGUUCUGGAGACAUCAACUGAUAAAAAUCAAUGCUUCCCUUUGAAUCUUGUCUCAGUAGUUCAUAGCCUUCAUCCUUAGAAUUUCUGGUUUUAUUUUCCUUGACCUUUCAGAGAAUCUCUGCAGGUUGGGAUGUCCUAAUUUUCCUUGACUAAUUUUCCUUCCUGAGCAAAGCCCACAGGAAAAUCCUCAGCAAAUGACAGUUCCAGCUCACUAAACACCAAACAGGUCACACUGGGUUGGUAUAGCAGGCUUCUUGUGACAUCUGGGAGUCUUUCAUCCUGGGUCUAGAAGGGUGCACCCCAUUCUGCCCAACUGUACGUAUUUCCUUAUCCCUUUGUUGUCAUCCCUUUAAUGCAAAUGACCUCCGUAGUUAAAACCUAGGAAAUUCUAAUUAGGUGUAGAAAAUGUUCCCUUAGUAAGACUUCUUUUCUUUGUGCCAUUUAUAAUGGAUGUGAUAAUUUGAUAGAUGUUUUGUGUUGCUUUUUCUCCAAGAGAAAUUGUCAGUCACUUUGGGUUUUUGUUCUUUCCAGUUUUUUCAUUGAGAAUAUGUAUCCUUAAAAAAAUAUCGAGGUUAUAAAUACAAGAAGUGUUCCAUACUGAAAGCAGGGAUCACUGUCCACCAACCAUAUGAACAGAGGCAGGGCAUCCUCGACAUGGUUUUUGUCUAAGUGGUGCACUUGUGUUCUCCUUUCUGGCUAUGUCAUGCAUAGCUAUUUUAUAUGCUAUAAACUGACAUGAAGUUUUGGCACUGCCCCCUGAACUGUGACAUCUUGUCAGAUGGAAGCUGUUACGUGGGGAGAACACAGUUCUUGCAGCAGAGGGUAUUUGCAAUGAUCCCUCCAUGAGAAUGAGCAGCCUGAAUUUCUCCAUGCCAGCUAGUGCCAUAAACAUGGAGAAGCCUAGGAGAUCCGUGAGGAGGGAGCUGGAGUAAGAAACCAGAAUGCAGCAAUUCUACAAGAGCUUGAGUUACAGUCCAUGCAUGACUGCUGCAAAAUGAAAACUUCUUAAAGUAAGUCUUACUUUUUUCACCUUCCCAAAAGAAGAAAUAUGCUUAAAAUUCAGCUCUGCACUAGAUUUGGGUAAGCUGUGUGUGCCCGUUGCUAAAGAGGAAUAUGGCUGAGAAGGGCAAUCUGAUCUUCCAUCAAUACAAAGGUUUGUACGCUGUGUAUUGCUUCAUAAAUAAGGUGAAUUUGGGCAAGCCAAAGGUCAGCUAGCAGAACGUUCAGAAGUUGGAAAAUAAAAUUUCCACUGAUUAAGUUAAAAGGAUAACUCACGUAAUGUGAGUGUUUUCAUACAGGCAAACAUGAAACACAAAUGGCAGCUGUCUUGUGCAGUGCCAUUAUGAUAAGACACAUGCAUUAUGGGAAGCUUUCAUUAUUCUCAAGCCAAACAUUAUAAAAAGCUAGGAAAAUAUAUUGUAACCUAAUGGGAAUGUAUUUCUUAAGCGCUUAAGAAAUUUAUCCUUGCCUUUAUAUAUAACACGAAUGCAGUGCUUUUUAGAACACCAUACAUUUUGUUUGCAAUUUCAGAUAAUAAUGGUAAGGACCCUUUUUUUUCUCACUUGGAAUUUUAAUAUUACUUCUCCUAGCUAGAGCUAAAGUUCUUUGAGUGACUUAAUUUUUCCAUUUUCAUGCCUUAGUUCAGGAAGACACUAUUUCUCAAUUUUCCAGGAACAUAAUUAUUACUGAAGUCACGGAAACUUCACUGCAGUGGUUUCACAGUUGAGAAACUAGUAGCCACACUCCCUGACUUUACUUGUGAUUAAUGUACAAAUGUACAUUACAUCUGGGAGUCUUCUCUUUUUUAAUUAGUAAAAUGUUCAUACAGGAGGAGUAAACAAGAAAUCUACAGAGAAUGCGAACAGCUUGUAUUUCCAGUAGUGUGAAGCUAUGUAUAAAUAGGACAUGAUGCAUCCACUUCCCCAAUGAAACAAAUAUUUGUAAUUGUCAAGAUGGUUGAUGUUGAAAUAAUAAUCAGUUCUUCUUCGGUUCAGUUCCAGGGAAAAGCCAUAAUUACAUAUGACAAAUAUGCUGGAAUUCACCCUACUGUCUAUAUAAAAUUCCAAAAGUCAUCUCGGCAGGAGAGGCACAUACUAAGAGUUUAUUUCGGUUUGAAAAGGAAGACAUGGUUCUUUCAGUGUUCACUAUGCAUUUGGCAGUAAGUGACGUGACUUCUGCUGUGGCAUUUUUAGAUAUUUACAUAAUGAUCUGAAGUGCAGUUGAGUGAAAAGAAAGGUAGCCACACUAAUCUGCUUGCUAAACAGUUCCACCAAGCUUUUCACUGAAGGGUGGUUUUUGUAAGACAUACUAAGUGACAGUUACAUCUCACGAUUUCACAUCAGAAUACGUAUGCUUGUAUGAAACUUGUUUAUAUUGCAUGUUUGUGCUCUUUCAUUCCAUCAAAUCUUACAUAUUCUGCGUGCCUCCCGAUUUGAAAUUUCCAGCAGACUGCUCAUUUUCAACUCAGAACAGAAACGAGUGCUGGCUGUUCAUGGCCCAGCACUAUCUUCACAUAAAGUACUUCAUCCACAAAUGAAACACCGGCUUGGCAGAUCAGAUAAAAAAAAGCAGAGUACAUCCUGCACCCAGAUCUGUUCUGUGGCUAGAAACAGGCAGGUGAAAAACAGAAUUCUGCUUUAUUUGGAAUGUUAGUGUUAUUUUGCAGUCCAUUUCUGAAGGGUUUCACUCUUUUUUUCUCCUGCAUCACUAACCUUAGCAAGUGAAGAGAACCACACGGGUCAGGGUUUAGGCAUCCUGAUAGUCCUCCAGCCCUGCUAUUUCUUCAUCAAGUGCAUGCAAAAAGCAUGAGGAAUUCAACUGUGUGAAGCAGCCCUCCAAGUCAAGUGCACCUGAUGCACCACAACAAGAGGAAAUGCAGGGCUGAUGGAAGAAAGUGUCAGUCAAGACACUUGCGGAAGGAGACUCCACAACUUCUCAGGCAAUCUGUGCCAGUGCUCAGUCAUUCUCAAAGUGAAAAAAGCGUUUGUGAUCAGAUAGACCCUCCUGUGUUUCAGGUGGUGCUCACUGCCUCUUCAUGUCAGGUGCUAAACAUAGUGCUAUAGCAAGUAGAAGCAGAAAUGCAACCUCUGUUGCACCUACAGUCUAUAGAAAAAGGACAAAAAGGGCAUCUACUAACUGAAAAUUUGUAGUCUCAGAAAAUUCCUGGCUUUGUUGUUAGUUGAAGGGCUCUUUACAUACCAUAGGAAGUACUAGUGAUACCGUCUUAUGUUUCAGCUUCCAUUAAACUUCUUUUUGACUCUGUCCAGUGUAAAAAGAGGGCAAAACGGGCUUGAUUUCCUGGGUAUGGGAGAGGAUCAAACCUCUGCACGUGCCACAACCUCUGCCUUUUUCCUUUGAGACAAUAUAUCUUUAGUUUAUGCAACUGGUCAUUGCUAUACUGACUUCUGUAGCACUGCACUGGGUCUCACCAGCCUGUCCCUAGGAGUUACAGACUAAUGUUAAACAGUUACUUGAUACAUGUGUGCCCAUGUCAUACGCUUCCAACAUAGUGUUCCUUGCAUUCUGUCUCCACCUCUUUGUCUUAAGAUUUUCAAUAAAAAACCCUUCUUACUUUCCAGUCCCCACCAGCAAUCUCCAGUACACGUGAAGUGGGUUGUGAGUUAGAUGCAGCCUUGAGUAUAAUUAGCUUAAUGUCAACUCCAGAUUCACUUCUUGUCUUUGUCUCCAAGGAUGGUAUCUGCAGAGGACAGGGGCAUUUUUAAUGCUGUAUUUCAGGACCUUAGUUCUGCUUUGUUACCUCCAAAGAUGUGUGAUAUAUAUGACGAAGACUGAAAGCCAUCAGAGCCCCACAUUCAGUUGACGUUUUAGUACCAUUUUACAGAGUAGUUUAUUGCCUGCAUGGUAUCUUUUAGGACAGUAGGAAGCAUCAUUGAUUUUAACUUGAGUUUUCUUUUGUUCACUUAGCAGAUAGGCACUGUGAAAAAACUCUCAGCUUUACCCCAGUGUCUUUUGUUUAAAUAUCACAGCUGAUUAAGUUAGGCCCAAAAUAUAGCCCUCUGAGGAAAAUGGAUAUAGAACCAUAGUGUGAGUAUGACUGUUGAAGGGAUUUUCCUAGACUUUAACUAGAUAUUUUCUGGAACUGUUGAAAUCUCUAAGACAGCAGUAUUUUACUGAUUCAUAAGGACUGGUGAAUGUAACUCACAAAUACCAUUUUCAUCUGCCAUCCUUCUCUCUGCUAAGUCUUUAUGUCAUUAAAACUCCCAUUCCUAUCACAGCUGCAACCAGUGGAACAAUGUGGGGGAUGAAGUAACUCAUAGCUAAGCCAUAGAUGGAAACAACUGAAUUGCAAAAUAACUAUAAAAAGGCUUUCCUAAUCUGAACUAGACUUGAUAUUUGUAAGCUUUCUUUUUAUUUUGAAAUGUGUAUUAGCCUCAUUUUACAAAUGAUCUUACAAGCAGCUCACAGCACAGAAAGGAGUUUGUGGGGUCCUGACUCUACUGUGAUACAGCUCUACAGAAACAGAAAAAAUGGUUAAGACUUGAAAUAGGAUUCACCCUCAGUUCUUAGUGGUUAUUUGGUCUAAGUUGUGCCUGCUGAUGUAAAGGUGAAUGUUGUCAAAACACUCCCAUUUCCUCUCUGACAUGGGUUUUAAUUGUGCACAUUUUCAGUAUUUGUUGAUUAGAAGCAACUCAAAUAAACAUAAUGUGAGGACUGGCAAAGGUUUACCCCUUUAAAAGAAAUUAGGAAUAAACCCCAAUAAAACUGUUUAGCUGGACACCAGCGCCAUGCCCAGUGACGGACAUUGAAUAAGCUUCUAGAAGUAGCAGUGCCAGUAAUAUGUGGUCUAACCUGCAGCCCCUUGGCUCUGCUAGCACUGGGUCUCUUUUGAGAAGACCUCCCCUGUUGUU